Molecule: small RNA, 135 nt
Filed under: Pseudomonas sp. Tn43
Lineage: Bacteria; Pseudomonadati; Pseudomonadota; Gammaproteobacteria; Pseudomonadales; Pseudomonadaceae
Description: sRNA P18
Rfam family: Pseudomonas sRNA P18
Source: RNAcentral
GGCGGCGUGCUGCUCAGUCCGUUUCUGAUUGAUGUGUUGCUGGCGUUGCUGGUGACCGGAGCGUUGCGCAUGGUAUUGCGCCUGACCCCGGUCGGUCGCUGGAUCUGGCACGAAGCAUUGUUUGAUUGCGCCCUG